AUCUCUCCGGGCCUCUGUUUCCCCCAUCUUAGAUGGGCUCUGGGGCCUUCGGGCGCAAAAGGACACGAUAGUGUGGCGGGUCCCGGAAAGGGACUCCCGGGCGGGGUGUUGCGGGGAGGUGGUGACGUGGCCGGACAGGACCUAAAAGACUUGGACUAGAGGAGCGGAGCUGGCAGAAGCAUUGGACGACGGUGUACGCAUGCGCGUCGUCGGAGGCAGGCGUUCUGCGCGCGCGUGCCCGAGAAACUGACGGCCGCGCAUGCGCCCUUAGUUGGCGGGAAGUUUCGGAGGCGGCGACCGUGACGUAGAAGGCGGAGACCGCUUGACCCUGACCAGGGAGGAUCGGCUGCAGGGGCGCCAGGCGUCCAGGAGUGACCUGGGGCUGUGGAGAGCGACCCGUGGCCUUGUGUUUCAGAGUUUACCACCUAGGAUGACUUCAGUGACUAGAUCAGAGAUCAUAGAUGAAAAAGGACCAGUGAUGUCUAAGACUCAUGAUCAUCGAUUGGAAUCAAGUCUCAGUCCUGUGGAAGUGUUUACUAAAACAUCUGCCUCCCUGGAGAUGAAUCAAGGCGUUUCAGAGGAAAGAAUUCACCUUGGCUGUAGCCCUAAAAAAGGGGGAAAUUGUGAUCUCAGCCACCAGGAAAGACUUCAGUCGAAGUCCCUUCAUUUGUCCCCUCAAGAACAAUCUGCCAGUUAUCAAGACAGGAGGCAAUCCUGGCGGCGAGCAAGUAUGAAAGAAACGAACCGGCGGAAGUCGCUGCAUCCGAUUCACCAGGGCAUCACAGAGCUCAGCCGGUCUAUCAGUGUCGAUUUAGCAGAAAGCAAACGGCUUGGCUGUCUCCUGCUUUCCAGUUUCCAGUUCUCUAUUCAGAAACUUGAACCUUUCCUAAGGGACACUAAGGGCUUCAGUCUUGAAAGUUUUAGAGCCAAAGCAUCUUCUCUUUCUGAAGAAUUGAAACAUUUUGCAGACGGACUGGAAACUGAUGGAACUCUACAAAAAUGUUUUGAAGAUUCAAAUGGAAAAGCAUCAGAUUUUUCUCUGGAAGCAUCUGUGGCUGAGAUGAAGGAAUACAUAACAAAGUUUUCUUUAGAACGUCAGACUUGGGAUCAGCUCUUGCUUCACUACCAGCAGGAGGCUGAAGAGAUAUUGUCCAGAGGAUCAACUGAGGCCAAAACUACUGAGGUCAAAGUGGAACCUGUGACAUAUCUUAGGUCUUCUCAGAAUGAAGUUCUUAAUACAAAACCUGACUACCAGAAAAUAUUACAGAACCAGAGCAAGGUCUUUGAUUGUAUGGAGUUGGUGAUGGAUGAGCUGAAAGGAUCAGUGAAACAGCUGCAGGCCUUUAUGGAUGAAAGUACCCAGUGCUUCCAGAAGGUGUCAGUACAGCUUGGGAAGAGAAGCAUGCAACAAUUAGAUCCCUCACCAGCUCGAAAACUGUUGAAGCUUCACCUACAGAACCCACCUGCCACACAUGGAUCUGGAUCUGGAUCUUGUCAGUGACCUUAUGAGAGUUUCUGCCACAAGGUGCCCAAGAGGAGAGGAAUGGGAAGAGUGCCCCAGCACAUAGUGACUGCAUGAUUUCUGCUCAUUGCCUUUGAAGAUAACUGGCAGGACUGACUGUAGAGCACUUUGACUUUUUUCAAAAUGUGAUGGAAUUUGUACAUCCAAAUGAAUAUUGUAUAGAUGUUUUUCCCAGGAAUGUGCAAAAUGCUUGAAAGUUCAAACUUCUUUUUUGAAAUGAUCUUCAGAUCUAGUGGCCCAUUCUUUUAUCUUUAUCCUGUGAAGGUGUUUUUCAGGUUUUGAAACAAUCCAAAAAUCAUUUAGGACCAAGUCUGAGGAAACAUUUUAGUGACCAAGUUGGAUUCUGGUUGUAAAGGAAUGAUACUAAUUUUCUAGCAUGGCUCUGAAGGUGAUUUUAGGUAGAAGAGUUUUGAGGCUGGGCACAAUGGCUCAUGCCUGUAAUCCUAGCACUUUGGGAGACUGAGGCGGGUGGAUUGCUUGAGCCCAGAAGUUGAAGACCAGCCUGAGAAAUAAGGUGAAACCCUGUCUACAAAAAAUACAAAAAGUUAGCUGGGUGUGGUGGCGUGCGCCUGUGGUGCUAGCUACUCAGAAGGCUGAGGUGGGAGGAUUGUUUGAGCCCAGGAGGUUGAGGCUGCAGUGAGUUCUAAUUGCGCCACUGCACUCUAGCCUGAGUGACAGUGAGACACUGUCUUAAAAAAAAUUAAAAAUUCUAAAAAAAUGAAAAAAAAGUUUUGAGCAUUGUUUGCAUCAUUGGGAUACAUGUGUCACUUCACAAGAUGUUCAAUUUGAAGGAAAUACCACUCAUUCUCUAUGUCCUGUUGUCUGUAGUGUGCUUCAGUUUUUAAUAUUGAGUUGACCUCCUAAAUCCUGGAUUCAUGACAAGAAAGGAGUUGAGAGAAUUAUAGAACCUAUAUCACAGGGAUGCUAUAAGAAUUAAAUAAUAGGGGCAGCCACGGUGUCCUAUUUUGAUGAACACGACUGCGAGCCAUCGGACCCUGAGCAGGAGAUGCAAACCAACAUGCUGCUGGAGCUCGCAAGGUCACUUUUCAAUAGGAUGGACUUUGAAGACUUGGGGUUGGUAGUAGAUUGGGAUCACCACCUGCCUCCACCAGCUGCCAAGACUGUGGUUGAGAACCUCCCCAGGACAGUCAUCAGAGGCGCCCAGGCUGAGCUCAAGUACCCCAUGUGUCUUUUGGAAUUUGAGGAGGAGGAGACUGCCAUUGAGAUGCCUUGCCAUCACCUUUUCCAUUCCAGCUGCAUUCUGCCCUGGCUAAGCAAGACAAAUUCCUGUCCCUUGUGCCGCCACGAGCUGCCCACUGAUGAUGACACUUAUGAGGAGCACAGAAGAGAUAAGUCUCGAAAACAGCAGCAGCAACACCGACUGGAGAACCUCCAUGGAGCCAUGUACACAUGAGGAGGUUGGGGCUGAGUGCUGGCCCUCUGCGUCUUCCUUAUUAACCUUGAAUCCUCAUUAAAGGUUUCUUUACCCACAAAAAAAAAAAAAAAA
Non-coding RNA from Nomascus leucogenys (northern white-cheeked gibbon), 3029 nucleotides. Lineage: Eukaryota; Metazoa; Chordata; Mammalia; Primates; Hylobatidae. The record is from RefSeq and is a predicted model, not a curated record.